AACGAACGCUGGCGGCAGGCCUAACACAUGCAAGUCGUGCGGACCCUUCGGGGUUAGCGGCGGACGGGUGAGUAACGCGUGGGAACGUGCCCUUUGCUUCGGAAUAGCCCUGGGAAACUGGGAGUAAUACCGGAUACGCCCUUUUGGGGAAAGAUUUAUCGGCGAAGGAUCGGCCCGCGUUGGAUUAGGUAGUUGGUGGGGUAAUGGCCUACCAAGCCGACGAUCCAUAGCUGGUUUGAGAGGAUGAUCAGCCACACUGGGACUGAGACACGGCCCAGACUCCUACGGGAGGCAGCAGUGGGGAAUCUUGGACAAUGGGGGAAACCCUGAUCUAGCCAUGCCGCGUGAGCGAUGAAGGCCUUAGGGUUGUAAAGCUCUUUCACCGGGGAAGAUAAUGACGGUACCCGGAGAAGAAGCCCCGGCUAACUCCGUG
This 433-nucleotide ribosomal RNA is filed under the name uncultured bacterium. Its description in RNAcentral is "partial 16S ribosomal RNA". It matches the Rfam family "Bacterial small subunit ribosomal RNA", at positions 29 to 507 of the family's 1533-position model. The record is from RNAcentral.